UUGCCUCAGUAGCGGCGAGCGAAGCGGCAACAGCCCAGAUUUGAAAUCUGGCCUUCGGGUCCGAAUUGUAAUCUGCAGAGGAUGCUUUAGGCAAGGCACCGGCCAAGUUCCCUGGAAUGGGACGCCUUAGAGGGUGAGAGCCCCGUAGUGCUGGCUGCCACGCCAUUGUAUAGCUCCCUCGAAGAGUCGCGUAGUUUGGGAAUGCUGCGCAAAUAGGGAGGUAUAUCUCUCCUAAGGCUAAAUACCUGCCAGAGACCGAUAGCGCACAAGUAGAGUGAUCGAAAGAUGAAAAGAACUUUGAAAAGAGGGUUAAAUAGUAUGUGAAAUUGCUAAAAGGGAAGCGCUUAUGGCUAGACUUGGUGGUGGUGGAGCAAUCUGCUGCUACUGGGCCGGGCACCAGUUUACGUUGGGGGGUAAAGGCGGCGGGAACGUGGCUCCUCCGGGAGUGUUAUAGCCCGCCGUGUAAUACCCUGGUGUAGACUGAGGCUCUCGCUUCGGCAAGGGUGCCGGCAUAAUGGCCAUCAGCGGCCCGUCUUGAAACACGGACCAAGGAGUCGUCUUCGUAUGCGAGUGUUUGGGUGUCAAACCCAAGCGCGUAAUGAAAGUGAACGUUGGUGAGAGCUGCGGCGCAUCAUCGACCGAUCCUGAAGUUUACAGAUGGAUUUGAGUAAGAGCAUACGGGGCCGGACCCGAAAGAAGGUGAACUAUGCGUGUGUAGGGUGAAGCCAGAGGAAACUCUGGUGGAGGCUCGCAGCGGUUCUGACGUGCAAAUCGAUCGUCAAACAUGCGCAUGGGGGCGAAAGACUAAUCGAACCUUCUAGUAGCUGGUUUCCGCCGAAGUUUCCCUCAGGAUAGCAGUGUUGGUACCCCAGUUUUAUGAGGUAAAGCGAAUGAUUAGGGAACCGGGGGCGCUUUUUAGCCUUCAUCCAUUCUCAAACUUUAAAUGUGUAAGAAGCCCUUGUUACUUAAUUGAACGUGGGCAUUCGAAUGCAACAACACUAGUGGGCCAUUUUUGGUAAGCAGAACUGGCGAUGCGGGAUGAACCGAACGUGGGGUUGCGGCGCCUAAAUCAACGCUCAUCAGACACCACAAAAGGUGUUAGCACAUCUUGACAGCAGGACGGUGGCCAUGGAAGUCGGAAUCCGCUAAGGACUGUGUAACAACUCACCUGCCGAAUGUGCUAGCCCUGAAAAUGGAUGGCGCUCAAGCGUUGUGCCUAUACCCCGCCCUCAGCGUAGGCUCGGACGCGCUGAGGAGUAGGUGGACGUGGCCGUCGUGACGAAGCC
Molecule: ribosomal RNA, 1286 nt
Filed under: Falcocladium multivesiculatum
Lineage: Eukaryota; Fungi; Ascomycota; Sordariomycetes; Falcocladiales; Falcocladiaceae
Description: LSU rRNA
Rfam family: Eukaryotic large subunit ribosomal RNA
Source: RNAcentral